Molecule: ribosomal RNA, 481 nt
Filed under: uncultured Saprospiraceae bacterium
Lineage: Bacteria; Pseudomonadati; Bacteroidota; Saprospiria; Saprospirales; Saprospiraceae
Description: bacterial SSU rRNA
Rfam family: Bacterial small subunit ribosomal RNA
Source: RNAcentral
GAUGAACGCUAGCGGAAGGCUUAAUACAUGCAAGUCGAGGGGUAACAUGGGAGCUUGCUCCUGAUGACGACCGGCGCACGGGUGAGUAACGCGUACACGAUCUACCUUUAGGAACGGGAUAGCCCUGGGAAACUGGGAGUAAUACCGUAUAGUAUUAGAGUAUAUAGAUGAUUCUAAUUAAAGAUUUAUUGCCUAGAGAUGAGUGUGCGUCCUAUUAGCUAGUUGGUAAGGUAACGGCUUACCAAGGCGACGAUAGGUAGGGGGCGUGAGAGCGUGGACCCCCACACGGGUACUGAGACACGGACCCGACUCCUACGGGAGGCAGCAGUAAGGAAUAUUGGACAAUGGGGGCAACCCUGAUCCAGCCAUUCCGCGUGCAGGAUGACGGCCCUCUGGGUUGUAAACUGCUUUUGUAUGGGAAGAAACACAGUCAUUUAUGAUUGUCUGACGGUACCAUAAGAAUAAGCACCGGCUAACUCCG